Molecule: non-coding RNA, 448 nt
Organism: Meriones unguiculatus (Mongolian gerbil)
Lineage: Eukaryota; Metazoa; Chordata; Mammalia; Rodentia; Muridae
Source: the annotation of a RefSeq genome assembly
GACAGGCUGGACCACCAAGAUGGAGUCAGAGACCCAGGUCUUCAUAUUCCUGCUCCUUUGGAUGUCUGGUGCUGAGGGGAACAUUGUGAUGACUCAGUCUCCCGAAUUCAUGUCCACAUCUGUAGGAGACAGGAUCACCCUAAGCUGCAAGUCCAGUCAGGGUGUGGAUAACUAUGUAAAUUGGUACCAACAGAAAUCAGGGCAGCCUCCUAAACUGCUAAUCUAUGGUGCAUCCAAUCGCCCCUCUGGGGUCCCUGAUCGCUUCACAGGCAGUGGAUCUGGGACAGAUUUCACUCUCUCCAUCAGCAGUGUUCAGGCAGAAGACCUGGCAGUUUAUUACUGUCAAAAUGGUUAUAGUACUCCUCACACAGUGCUUCAGCCUCCAACACAAACCUCCUUGAGAAUCUCACCAGCUGUCUGUACCACACACAGCCCUGGGCCCGCAUAG